Onychomys torridus (southern grasshopper mouse) is the source of this 366-nucleotide non-coding RNA. NCBI's taxonomy places the organism in Eukaryota, Metazoa, Chordata, Mammalia, Rodentia, Cricetidae. The record is from the annotation of a RefSeq genome assembly.
AUGGACAUGAGGACCCCUGCUCAGCUCCUCGGGCUCCUGCUGCUCUGGUUACCAAGUGCCAGAUGUGACAUCCAGGUGACCCAGUUUCCAUCCUCCCUGUCUGCAUCUCUGGGAGACAGAGUCACUAUCUCAUGUUGGGUCAGUCAAGGCAUUAGCAAUUAUUUAAACUGGUACCAGCAGAAACCAGGGAAAGCUCCUAAGCGCCUGAUCAAUGCUGUAUCCAACUUGGACAGUGGGGUCCCAUCGAGGUUCAGUGGCAGUAGGUCUGGAACAGAUUAUUCUCUCACCAUCAGCAGCCUGGAGUCUGAAGACUUUGCAAUUUAUCACUGUCAGCAAUUUUAUAAUACCCCUCCCACAAUGACAUAA